RNAcentral lists this ribosomal RNA (382 nucleotides) under uncultured eukaryote. Its description in RNAcentral is "partial 18S ribosomal RNA". It matches the Rfam family "Eukaryotic small subunit ribosomal RNA", at positions 592 to 976 of the family's 1831-position model. The record is from RNAcentral.
CAAUAGUGUAUAUUAAAGUUGUUGCAGUUAAAAAGCUCGUAGUUGGAUUUCUGGUUGAAGCGACCGGUCGGGCGUUGAUUCGUCUGCACUGGAGUCGGUUUUGGCCAUCCUCUAGGAAAGUGCGUCUGGUAUUAAGUUAUCGGGCGUAUGAUCCUGGUCUUUUACUGUGAAAAAAUUAGAGUGUUUAAAGCAGGCCUUCGCCUUGAAUACAUUAGCAUGGAAUAAUAAGAUAGGACUUUGGUCUAUUUUGUUGGUUUGCAGACCGAAGUAAUGAUUAAUAGGGAUAGUUGGGGGUAUUUAUAUUCCGAUGUCAGAGGUGAAAUUCUUAGAUUUUCGGAAGAUAAACUUAUGCGAAAGCAUUUACCAAGGAUGUUUUCAUUAA